UACAGAGGGUGCGAGCGUUAAUCGGAGUAACUGGGCGUAAAGGGCGCGUAGGCGGUGAUGUGAGUGUGAUGUGAAAGCCCCGGGCUUAACCUGGGAAGUGCAUCGCAAACGACAUGACUGGAGUAGAUGAGAGGGUGGCGGAAUUUCCGGUGUAGCGGUGAAAUGCGUAGAGAUCGGAAGGAACGUCGAUGGCGAAGGCAGCCACCUGGCAUCAUACUGACGCUGAGGCGCGAAAGCGUGGGGAGCGAACAGG
Molecule: ribosomal RNA, 253 nt
Filed under: uncultured bacterium
Lineage: Bacteria
Also listed under: 1 other name
Description: partial 16S ribosomal RNA
Rfam family: Bacterial small subunit ribosomal RNA
Source: RNAcentral